AGUGAACGCUGGCGGUAGGCCUAACACAUGCAAGUCGAACGGCAGCACAGUAAGAGCUUGCUCUUACGGGUGGCGAGUGGCGGACGGGUGAGGAAUACAUCGGAAUCUACUUUUUCGUGGGGGAUAACGUAGGGAAACUUACGCUAAUACCGCAUACGACCUACGGGUGAAAGCAGGGGAUCUUCGGACCUUGCGCUAUUGAAUGAGCCGAUGUCGGAUUAGCUAGUUGGCGGGGUAAAGGCCCACCAAGGCGACGAUCCGUAGCUGGUCUGAGAGGAUGAUCAGCAACACUGGAACUGAGACACGGUCCAGACUCCUACGGGAGGCAGCAGUGGGGAAUAUUGGACAAUGGGCGCAAGCCUGAUCCAGCCAUACCGCGUGGGUGAAGAAGGCCUUCGGGUUGUAAAGCCCUUUUGUUGGGAAAGAAAAGCAGCAGGUUAAUACCCCGCUGUUCUGACGGUACACAAAGAAUAAGCACCGGCUAACUUCGUG
RNAcentral lists this ribosomal RNA (492 nucleotides) under uncultured bacterium. RNAcentral's name for it is "partial 16S ribosomal RNA". It matches the Rfam family "Bacterial small subunit ribosomal RNA", at positions 29 to 507 of the family's 1533-position model. The record is from RNAcentral.